This is a non-coding RNA of Pelobates cultripes (western spadefoot toad), 1234 nucleotides long. The record is from the annotation of a GenBank genome assembly. NCBI's taxonomy places the organism in Eukaryota, Metazoa, Chordata, Amphibia, Anura, Pelobatidae.
AGUUUUCGCACAGCAAAAUGUCUUAGAUAUAUACCCGUGAAUGACCAGUGCUAAGUCCUGCAGUCUGAUGUGUUGUUUGUGCACUUAGAUUCUCUUCUCCUGAUUAUGUGCAGCUAGUAAAGCCUCUAACUUCAGAAGAGUUCCAGGAGAAACUUUGUUUAUGGCCUCUCGGGUAGCUUUGCAUAAAUUCUCAGGUCAACCCAAAACCGCAAUUUAUGACAUGGCUAUUUUGAGAAGGCGUCAUCCAGCAAAAAGCAAAAGAGGUCAAAUAACAUAACAAUGCGUAUUGCUCAUAAGACCUUUUUUUUAAAAAAACAAAAAAAAGUGUAUGGUGUGUUGAAAAAGCUGAUAACACAUGUUGCCCAUCAAAAGCCUUAAGAUCUGCUGUGUGGGCCCGUCGCAUUAAAGGGUUAUCACACUCCAAGAACUUAUCAUGCAAUAAAUUGCAGACAUAAUAAUACAAAUUGCAGACAUAAUAAUACACAUUUUUAUGUGACCCUUUUCUCCCAAAGGGGAGCUUUAAAGCACUUAGCGCGCUCUCUUGGAUUUAAGAGUUGGCGGCAGAUUAUGAUUAUUAAUUAGAGAGGUUUAGUUAGAUUGACCAGACACAGCACGAGCAAGGACUAAUUAAGGAAUUGCUACAGAAGGUAGGGCUUGUUCCCCAGUUCAGAGAUAUUUAAGGAUUAUCUGAGGACCAUUACCUGUUUUUUCUGUGACAUCAGCCAAGUGGCAUGGAUUAGAAUAGCAGAGAUUUUGCCAGAUACCUUAAGUCUUGUUGUUUCCAUUGCAAGUAGUUCUUUUUCUGGUGCUAUAUUUUUUUAAAGGGUAAUUGGACAGGAAAACCAGAGCAGGAUUAAAGAUAAGGUGACCCUAGUUGGCCACUGAGAGCCUAGCGGUUUUACAGGGGCCCUGGAACCUGGAAUUUUCUUGGCCUCAUUCACCACACCUAUGUGAAGAAUGAAGGGGGUCAAAUCGGUACCCUGCCCAGGGCGCUGUGGAACCCUAACCCUUCUCUGAGCAGAACAGAUUGUAGAGAUGUGUUUUAGCGGAUUGCUUGCUUUCAUCUUUCUUGAAAGCAUCCUGUAAUAUUUGAUUUUCAGGGAAAUGCUCAAGUAUAGAGCCUUUGGAAGUUGUGUAUAAAGAGCAGUUCUGAGAAAGUGGAGCAUUCACCAUGGAAACCAAUCGAAUGUUCCUUUUGAUUGGUCCACAUUUAGAAGUUUGCAUCGUAAUUCUG